CUGAGCCAGGGAGAGCUGCUGCAUUUGCCUUUGGAGCCUGCCAGGGAGCCCCAGUGCAAGGAUGAGCUGGCCUUUCCCUCCUCUCAAUUAGCAGGGAAGGUUGCAAAAUGAAAAUUAACUGUCAGAGAAGAUUGAUUCGUUUGAUGUCUAACCAGGAGCAGCCUUUUAUUACUGUAAAAUGCUGAUUUCCAUUCGUCGCCAAUGACAGGAUGGCGGGGAGCGGCAGUGAGAAGCCUCAUUAUGUGCUGCUCUGCCUCGAAGAACAAGCCUCGCGCUGCAACCCCAGCACCCGGGCCCGCGAACAGAGCAUUAAAUUGUUGGAAAUGGCUCCCCUUCACUCGCAGAACAAAGAUGUUUUCUCCAGAAUAAAUUGCCUCUCCCUCUCCGAGCGCUGA
Molecule: long non-coding RNA, 395 nt
Organism: Lontra canadensis (Northern American river otter)
Lineage: Eukaryota; Metazoa; Chordata; Mammalia; Carnivora; Mustelidae
Exons: 3
Source: RefSeq, a predicted model, not a curated record